GAUGAACGCUGGCGGCGUGCCUAACACAUGCAAGUCGAGCGGAGUCAAUUGUUGAUUCUUCGGAUGAUUUGAUUGACUUAGCGGCGGAUGGGUGAGUAACACGUGGGUAAUCUGCCCUGCACUGGGGGAUAACAGUUGGAAACGACUGUUAAUACCGCAUAUGCACACGGGGCCGCAUGGCCCCGGGUGGAAAGAUUUAUCGGUGCAGGAUGAGCCCGCGUCGGAUUAACUAGUUGGCAGGGUAACGGCCUACCAAGGUGAUGAUCCGUAGCCGGCCUGAGAGGGCGACCGGCCACAUUGGGACUGAGACACGGCCCAAACUCC
This 324-nucleotide ribosomal RNA is filed under the name uncultured Butyrivibrio sp. RNAcentral describes it as "bacterial SSU rRNA". It matches the Rfam family "Bacterial small subunit ribosomal RNA", at positions 28 to 339 of the family's 1533-position model. The record is from RNAcentral. Lineage: Bacteria; Bacillati; Bacillota; Clostridia; Lachnospirales; Lachnospiraceae.